RNAcentral lists this ribosomal RNA (492 nucleotides) under uncultured bacterium. RNAcentral describes it as "partial 16S ribosomal RNA". It matches the Rfam family "Bacterial small subunit ribosomal RNA", at positions 29 to 507 of the family's 1533-position model. The record is from RNAcentral.
AGUGAACGCUGGCGGUAGGCCUAAUACAUGCAAGUCGAACGGCAGCACAGUAAGAGCUUGCUCUUACGGGUGGCGAGUGGCGGACGGGUGAGGCAUACAUCGGAAUCUACUUUUUCGUGGGGGAUAACGUAGGGAAACUGACGCUAAUACCGCAUACGACCUACGGGUGAAAGCAGGGGAUCUUCGGACCUUGCGCGAUUGAAUGAGCCGAUGUCGGAUUAGCUAGUUGGCGGGGUAACGGCCCACCAAGGCGACGAUCCGUAGCUGGUCUGAGAGGAUGAUCAGCCACACUGGAACUGAGACACGGUCCAGACUCCUACGGGAGGCAGCAGUAGGGAAUAUUGGGCAAUGGGCGCAAGCCUGAUCCAGCCAUGCCGCGUGGGUGAAGAAGGCCUUCGGGUUGUAAAGCCCUUUUGUUGGGAAAGAAAAACAGCAUGUGAAUCCCCCCCUGUUCUGACGGUACCCAAAGAAUAAGCAACGGCUAACUUCGUG